This 386-nucleotide ribosomal RNA is filed under the name uncultured bacterium. RNAcentral's name for it is "bacterial SSU rRNA". It matches the Rfam family "Bacterial small subunit ribosomal RNA", at positions 28 to 417 of the family's 1533-position model. The record is from RNAcentral.
GACGAACGCUGGCGGCGUGCUUAACACAUGCAAGUCGAGCGGUAAGGCCCUUUCGGGGGUACACGAGCGGCGAACGGGUGAGUAACACGUGGGUGACCUGCCUUUAGCUCUGGGAUAAGCCUGGGAAACCGGGUCUAAUACCGGAUAUGACUCCGCGGCGCAUGUUGUGGGGUGGAAAGCCUUGUGCGGCUGGAGAUGGGCCCGCGGCCUAUCAGCUUGUUGGUGGGGUGAUGGCCACCAAGGCGACGACGGUAGCCGGCCUGAGAGGGCGACCGGCCACACUGGGACUGAGACACGGCCCAGACUCCUACGGGAGGCAGCAGUGGGGAAUCUUGCGCAAUGGGCGAAAGCCUGACGCAGCGACGCCGCGUGAGGGAUGACGGCCU